AGUGCCCUCGGUGGCGGCGCCCCCUGCAGCUUCAAGAUGGCGCACUUCCACCCGACCUUAUCCCGCAGCGCCUUUCUCCAGAGGGCAGCGAUCCCGGAGGAGCAGCUGCAAGCGGGCGCCGUCGCGGAGCUCCGGUUCCUUAGGUACCGUAGAGCAUGUGCAGAGGGCGCCACACACACACACCAACGGGGGAAUCUCCUAAGCAGCACACUCCAAACCGGCCACCUCCCUCUCCCAGAGUCUCUCUUUUGGAAGGGCUGCUUGGAGCCUCCAUGGCUCAGCGCAGUCCACCUGCAGGCGAUGGCAGGACUUCAAGAGCGGGCGGACGCUGCGCUCCAAGGCUCCAGCUCCAUGAGCACGCUGCAUCUGCCCAGAGGCAGCCCCCAUGUGCUGCAGCAGUCUACCCCACCGCCUCCAUUGAGUGAGACAGGGGAGUGGGAUAUUUUUAUUUUUAAGGCAGAAUCGGCGUCUGUUUCUUAUUACACCUCGAGCGCCCUUCUCGGGAGAUCUCAGUGAGUGCCCUCGGGGACGUCGUAAACCACCGAGUGGGAGGAGAGGACUCGAGGAGGGCUCGGGUGAGACAAUUCUGUUCCCGGAGAAUGAGGUGGGCACCCUUGCCAGAGGUGGGAAGAGGGAUGGGAGACACCGACAUCCUUCUUCACCGCCUCUAUCCUAUUCUUGGAGGGCAGGGGAAGAACCAGGUGAGGAACAACUCGUUUACUGAGAGGUAGAAAGCCUCUGGAUGUGGAGGCUCCACUAUGCUUGUGUAGCUUAUGCCUGUGGACAAACUUUGCUGUGCUUAGGGAUACGAGUGGCAUCCUCUGGCUUCUAGCACGUGAAGGCUUGCUAU
Non-coding RNA from Podarcis lilfordi (Lilford's wall lizard), 850 nucleotides. Lineage: Eukaryota; Metazoa; Chordata; Lepidosauria; Squamata; Lacertidae. The record is from the annotation of a GenBank genome assembly.